Ictidomys tridecemlineatus (thirteen-lined ground squirrel) is the source of this 72-nucleotide non-coding RNA. Lineage: Eukaryota; Metazoa; Chordata; Mammalia; Rodentia; Sciuridae. The record is from Rfam.
GGGGAUGUAGUUCAGUGGUAGAGCACUCGCCUAGCACGUGCGAGGCCCUGGGUUCAAUCCCCAGUACCACCA